This 253-nucleotide ribosomal RNA is filed under the name uncultured bacterium. Its description in RNAcentral is "partial 16S ribosomal RNA". It matches the Rfam family "Bacterial small subunit ribosomal RNA", at positions 524 to 776 of the family's 1533-position model. The record is from RNAcentral.
UACAGAGGUCCCAAGCGUUGUUCGGAUUCACUGGGCGUAAAGGGUGCGUAGGCGGUCGGGUAAGUCUGAUGUGAAAUCUCACAGCUUAACUGUGAAACUGCAUUGGAUACUAUCCGGCUAGAGGAAUGGAGGGGAGACUGGAAUACUUGGUGUAGCAGUGAAAUGCGCAGAUAUCAGGAGGAACACCGGUGGCGAAGGCGGUGGUCUGGGCCGGCACUGACGCUGAGGAGCGAAAGCGUGGGUAGCAAACAGG